This is a transfer RNA of Felis catus (domestic cat), 85 nucleotides long. It matches the Rfam family "tRNA". Rfam says of the family: Transfer RNA (tRNA) molecules are approximately 80 nucleotides in length. Their secondary structure includes four short double-helical elements and three loops (D, anti-codon, and T loops). Further hydrogen bonds mediate the characteristic L-shaped molecular structure. tRNAs have two regions of fundamental functional importance: the anti-codon, which is responsible for specific mRNA codon recognition, and the 3' end, to which the tRNAs corresponding amino acid is attached (by aminoacyl-tRNA synthetases). tRNAs cope with the degeneracy of the genetic code in two manners: having more than one tRNA (with a specific anti-codon) for a particular amino acid; and 'wobble' base-pairing, i.e. permitting non-standard base-pairing at the 3rd anti-codon position. Lineage: Eukaryota; Metazoa; Chordata; Mammalia; Carnivora; Felidae. The record is from Rfam.
GCCUGGGUGGCUCAGUCGGUUGAGCGUCCGACUUCAGCUCAGGUCACGAUCUCGCGGUCCGUGGGUUCGAGCCCCGCGUCAGGCU